Molecule: ribosomal RNA, 376 nt
Filed under: uncultured bacterium
Lineage: Bacteria
Description: bacterial SSU rRNA
Rfam family: Bacterial small subunit ribosomal RNA
Source: RNAcentral
CACGGGGGGAGCAAGCGUUGUUCGGAAUCACUGGGCGUAAAGGGCGUGUAGGCGGUUAGGUAAGUGGGAUGUGAAAUCCCUCGGCUCACCCGAGGACCUGCAUCCCAAACUGCCUGGCUUGAGUACGGGAGAGGAUGGAGGAAUUCCUGGUGUAGCGGUGAAAUGCGUAGAUAUCAGGAGGAACACCGGUGGCGAAGGCGUCCAUCUGGCCCGAUACUGACGCUGAGGCGCGAAAGCUAGGGGAGCAAACGGGAUUAGAUACCCCGGUAGUCCUAGCCGUAAACGGUGAGCACUAGGUGUUGGAGGCAUCGACCCCUCCAGUGCCGCAGCUAACGCAAUAAGUGCUCCGCCUGGGGAGUACGGCCGCAAGGUUGAA